This 195-nucleotide unclassified non-coding RNA is filed under the name uncultured Atheliales. Its description in RNAcentral is "sequence contains ITS1". The record is from RNAcentral. Lineage: Eukaryota; Fungi; Basidiomycota; Agaricomycetes; Atheliales.
UCGAAUUAUAAGCAAGGGUUGUCGCUGGCCUUUCGAGGCAUGUGCACGCCCGAGCUCUUAAUCCAAACCACACCUGUGAACUCUCUGUAGGGCCUCUCCUGUCGUGGGAGGGCGUCCUAUGUUUAUCAUCAACUUUGUAUGUCUAUAGAAUGUCAAUCGAUGCCUUCGCCUUAAAACAGCGUCGGUAAACUUAUA